Long non-coding RNA from Anolis carolinensis (green anole), 1583 nucleotides. RefSeq lists it as uncharacterized. NCBI's taxonomy places the organism in Eukaryota, Metazoa, Chordata, Lepidosauria, Squamata, Anolidae. The transcript has 2 exons. The record is from RefSeq and is a predicted model, not a curated record.
CUGCCCUCUCACGCCACCGCACCACACUGCGCAGGCGCGGACUGAGUCCAGGCCACGGAGCCUCUCUUGUCGACUACUCCCUCCCACCCCGCGCUGCACGAAUGGUACGCUCGCUUCCUAAGCGAAUACUGUCCCGGGAUCCUCCCAAGAUAAUCUAAAGGAUGAACAAAAUGGUUAUCCAGUGAAACUAAUUACGGUCCAAAGCUUCAUAGAAUUUACAUGCCCUUUCAUAACACUGAGGUCAAGCAAAGAGAAAGCCUGGGGAUAAGAAAACCAGUUUAAAACCGCCUGGACGGAAAUUCUAAUUAUAUGUCACCAUGACUUUGCCUUCAGAUUCAAUAUGAUAUAUUGCUCAAGUAAAUUCCAGCUAGCACUGCACUGAGAAAACCACAUCAUGAUGUACAGGACUUGGUUACAGAGGCAAUAUUUGUGGGGGUUGUGGAGCACAAUACUAAGGACAUCAUCAGACGGGCGGGGGAAAGCAGAAGGAACUGUCUUGUCCCUGUUCCCUACCAUCUUUCCCUGUCUUCAGGGAUGGCCAGCCAUCCCACAUCCUUUCUGCACCUUUUCUCGUUUUCUCCCGCAUUCUGCUGCUUGGAGUUGGGUAACACCCAACUCCUGAAGACAAUAUUCAAGCUCUGUUUCUAUGUACUAAGGAAAUGAAUGCCACAGUCCCACCGGAAGAGCCCUCAUGUCAUUUGAUGACCUCCAUGGGACUUCCAUGGGGAUCUGUUUCACAAGAUCAUGGAAACAGAGCCCGAAGACCAUGGGAUUAAGUCAUAAGAGGCCAAAGUCUUUCAGAUAUUUUUUUAAUGGCAGUUCCUAGACACAAUGGAGAAUUUCAGCUAUAUCAGCCUUCUAUAGAUAGUAUCAGGAACUCAAUCCCUUUGAAAGGGGAAAUCUGCUGUAAUGGUGAAUUUGUCAGAAGGAAGUUAAUUAGAAAUGAUCUUAUUAUUCAGUGCAAGACGCUUUAGCACCAACCCUGGCUUCCUUCAAAAAGCUGCUUAAAACCUGGCUCUUCCGCUGUGCCUUCGGAUAACCGAGCCCAUAGCUAUAGUAGCUGCACUGGCCAUUUCUCUGGAUUUGAGACAUUGCGCUUUAUUCCUCUGCCCUUAGAAUAUAACAUUGCACUUUAGUUCUAGUGGCCCUUCCAGGCCAUCCUCUCCUCCAUCCCAGUGGUUUUUUUUUCCUGUGAUUUAUAUGUUUUUGAGUGACUAUAUUGUUUUUGUUUAUGUGAUUAUUUUAGCCAAUUGCUAUGCUAUUUUUGCACUCUUAGUGCUUUAUAGUGUUUCAGUGUUUUAUUGUACAAUGCUUUUAUGCUGAUUUUAUAUUGGAAACCGCCCUGAGUUCGUCUUGGGAGAGAGGGCGGUAUACAAAUAAACUUUACUUACUUACUUACUUACUUUAUACAGUCAAAACACCUAGAAAAAAAGUCUUUCUGUUGAUUGGUUGAAACAUGUGGUUGCUACAUUCUUCUACACCUGUGCAAACACCACCCUGAGCAAGAAAGCUAUUGUUUUGUUAUUCUUUUACUUGUAAAUUGCUAUGUACAGUGAUGGCACUAAAUAAAUAAGAAUUCUUUA